CCUACCUUCAACUGGAGAAUAACCCAUGGAAACGUGGACUAAUGCUCCAUAUGGUCAUCUUCCUGCAUAAGGGGACGACGAAAGAUUUAUCGGUUAGAGAUGGGCAUGCGUGAUAUUAGCUAGUUGGUGAGGCAACGGCUCACCAAGGCGACGAUAUCUAGGGGAGCUGAGAGGCUUAACCCCCACACUGGUACUGAGACACGGACCAGACUCCUACGGGAGGCAGCAGUGAGGAAUAUUGGUCAAUGGACGGAAGUCUGAACCAGCCAUGCCGCGUGAAGGAAGACGGCCCUAUGGGUUGUAAACUUCUUUUUACCGGGAGUAAUAAGGUCCAUGCGUGGACCGAUGAAAGUACCGGGAGAAUAAGCAUCGGCUAACUCCGUGCCAGCAGCCGCGGUAAUACGGAGGAUGCAAGCGUUAUCCGGAUUUAUUGGGUUUAAAGGGUGCGUAGGCGGACUGAUAAGUCAGCGGUGAAAGAUGUCGGCUCAACCGGCAGCCUGCCGUUGAUACUGUCAGCCUCGAGUUCAAACGGCGCAGGCGGAAUAUGUCAUGUAGCGGUGAAAUGCAUAGAUAUGACAUAGAACACCGAUCGCGAAGGCAGCUUGCGAGGAUGCAACUGACGCUGAGGCACGAAAGCGUGGGUAUCAAACAGGAUUAGAUACCCUGGUAGUCCACGCAGUAAACGAUGAUAACU
RNAcentral lists this ribosomal RNA (694 nucleotides) under uncultured bacterium. RNAcentral's name for it is "bacterial SSU rRNA". It matches the Rfam family "Bacterial small subunit ribosomal RNA", at positions 125 to 817 of the family's 1533-position model. The record is from RNAcentral.